UACGAAGGGGGCUAGCGUUGUUCGGAAUCACUGGGCGUAAAGCGCACGUAGGCGGAUUGGUAAGUCAGGGGUGAAAUCCUGGAGCUCAACUCCAGAACUGCCUUUGAUACUGGCGAUCUUGAGUCCGGGAGAGGUGAGUGGAACUGCGAGUGUAGAGGUGAAAUUCGUAGAUAUUCGCAAGAACACCAGUGGCGAAGGCGGCUCACUGGCCCGGUACUGACGCUGAGGUGCGAAAGCGUGGGGAGCAAACAGG
Molecule: ribosomal RNA, 253 nt
Filed under: uncultured bacterium
Lineage: Bacteria
Description: partial 16S ribosomal RNA
Rfam family: Bacterial small subunit ribosomal RNA
Source: RNAcentral